CUCCAUAUGGUACAGUAUAUAUUAUUAUAUAUUAUGUAUUAAUAAUAAUAAAAAAGUUAAACACAAUUUAUUGAAAAAUGAAAAUGCAGGUUCUACUGCAAAACCUGAAGAUAUGUACCGAAUUAUCGAGCAUUUUUCACUUGGUCGCCGUAGGCUUGAGCUUUUUGGUGAAGACCAUAAUAUUCGCUCUGGCUGGUUGACUGUUGGUAAAGAUUUAUCCUCUUCAAAUUUCAAUUCUGAGGUACUUUUUUUUUUUUUUUAUAACUAUUGAGUAAAUUACAAUGAUAUUUUGCAUUACUACUACUCCUUGUGGUUUUAUUGAUAUGAUUUNCUUGAUGGGCAUAAAAGGAACUGUACGUCGCAGCACAGACGGUCAUAUAAUCCAUGCCAACAUUGAUACAGAUGUAAUUAUCGCGGAGGAGCCUCCAUAUGGUACAGUAUAUAUUAUUAUAUAUUAUGUAUUAAUAAUAAUAAAAAAGUUAAACACAAUUUAUUGAAAAAUGAAAAUGCAGGUUCUACUGCAAAACCUGAAGAUAUGUACCGAAUUAUCGAGCAUUUUUCACUUGGUCGCCGUAGGCUUGAGCUUUUUGGUGAAGACCAUAAUAUUCGCUCUGGCUGGUUGACUGUUGGUAAAGAUUUAUCCUCUUCAAAUUUCAAUUCUGA
RNAcentral lists this long non-coding RNA (663 nucleotides) under Lactuca sativa (garden lettuce). RNAcentral describes it as "long non-coding RNA (LSAT_LNC007889)". The record is from RNAcentral. Lineage: Eukaryota; Viridiplantae; Streptophyta; Magnoliopsida; Asterales; Asteraceae.